UACGUAGGGUGCGAGCGUUAAUCGGAAUUACUGGGCGUAAAGCGUGCGCAGGCGGUUUUGUAAGUCUGUCGUGAAAGCCCCGGGCUCAACCUGGGAAUGGCGAUGGAGACUGCAAGGCUUGAAUCUGGCAGAGGGGGGUAGAAUUCCACGUGUAGCAGUGAAAUGCGUAGAGAUGUGGAGGAACACCGAUGGCGAAGGCAGCCCCCUGGGUCAAGAUUGACGCUCAUGCACGAAAGCGUGGGGAGCAAACAGG
This 253-nucleotide ribosomal RNA is filed under the name uncultured bacterium. RNAcentral's name for it is "partial 16S ribosomal RNA". It matches the Rfam family "Bacterial small subunit ribosomal RNA", at positions 524 to 776 of the family's 1533-position model. The record is from RNAcentral.